AAAUUGAAGAGUUUGAUCAUGGCUCAGAUUGAACGCUGGCGGCAGGCCUAACACAUGCAAGUCGAACGGUAACAGGAAGCAGCUUGCUGCUUUGCUGACGAGUGGCGGACGGGUGAGUAAUGUCUGGGAAACUGCCUGAUGGAGGGGGAUAACUACUGGAAACGGUGGCUAAUACCGCAUAACGUCGCAAGACCAAAGAGGGGGACCUUCGGGCCUCUUGCCAUCAGAUGUGCCCAGAUGGGAUUAGCUUGUUGGUGAGGUAACGGCUCACCAAGGCGACGAUCCCUAGCUGGUCUGAGAGGAUGACCAGCCACACUGGAACUGAGACACGGUCCAGACUCCUACGGGAGGCA
This 353-nucleotide ribosomal RNA is filed under the name Salmonella enterica. RNAcentral's name for it is "bacterial SSU rRNA". It matches the Rfam family "Bacterial small subunit ribosomal RNA", at positions 1 to 350 of the family's 1533-position model. Lineage: Bacteria; Pseudomonadati; Pseudomonadota; Gammaproteobacteria; Enterobacterales; Enterobacteriaceae. The record is from RNAcentral.